This 72-nucleotide transfer RNA is filed under the name Pangasianodon gigas (Mekong giant catfish). RNAcentral describes it as "tRNA-Glu". It matches the Rfam family "tRNA". From Rfam's summary of the family: Transfer RNA (tRNA) molecules are approximately 80 nucleotides in length. Their secondary structure includes four short double-helical elements and three loops (D, anti-codon, and T loops). The record is from RNAcentral. Lineage: Eukaryota; Metazoa; Chordata; Actinopteri; Siluriformes; Pangasiidae.
UCCCUGGAGGACUAGUGGUUAGGCCACAGUGCUCUCACUGCUGCAGAACGAGUUUGAUUCCCGGCCAGGGAA